AUGCCUCACCCCCCUCUCGUCGCCGCCGGCAACCUCCGCUGCCGCCUACUCCUCUCCUCGCUGCUCGCCUCCUCCCGCACCCGCCGCUUCCUCCCCCGCGCCAUGGAGUCCUCCUCCUCCACCGCCGCCGCCGCUGCGGAGCACGCAGGUGGCGCGGCGGCGGGGGAGUACGAGGAGGUGCUGGCCCGGCUCUCCUCGCUCAUCACGCAGAAGAUUCUGGAGCUGGAGGAGCCCAUCGCGCAGAUGAAGGUCAUCCAUGUCGCCGGCACCAAAGAUGUUAGUUCUUUCAGUUCUAGCCCUCCUAUCUUUAAUUCCUGGCUGCUGGACUACCUGCAGGACAACGAGUUCAUUUGCGACAGCUACCGCUGUGAGCAGUCCGUCCGCAACGCGCUCCGCAGCGUCUUCGCCGGGCACAACGAGAUCCUCAACGUCUGGAACUAA
Molecule: ribosomal RNA, 441 nt
Filed under: Triticum aestivum (bread wheat)
Lineage: Eukaryota; Viridiplantae; Streptophyta; Magnoliopsida; Poales; Poaceae
Description: partial small subunit ribosomal RNA
Source: RNAcentral